This 39-nucleotide small RNA is filed under the name Sinorhizobium meliloti 2011. RNAcentral's name for it is "putative ncRNA". Lineage: Bacteria; Pseudomonadati; Pseudomonadota; Alphaproteobacteria; Hyphomicrobiales; Rhizobiaceae. The record is from RNAcentral.
AUUGGCCAGUGGCGCUCGCUGUCCAUCGUAAAUCCAAUU